AUUGAACGCUGGCGGCAGGCCUAACACAUGCAAGUCGAGCGGAGCGGCGGACGGGUGAGUAAGGCCAAGGAAUCGGCCUGGUCGUGGGGGAUAACGUCCGGCAACGGGCGCUAAUACCGCAUACUAUCAGAUGAGCCUGGGUCGGAUUAGCUAGUUGGUGGGGUAAAGGCCAACCAAGGCGACGGUCCGUAACUGGUCUGAGAGGAUGAGCAGUCACACUGGAACUGAGACACGGUCCAGACUCCGACGGGAGGCAGCAGUGGGGAAUAUUGGACAAUGGGCGAAAGCCUGAUGCAGCCAUGCCGCGUGUAUGAAGAAGGUCUUCGGAUUGUAAAGUACUUUAAGUUGGGAGGCGUUACCAACAGAAUAAGCACCGGCUAACGUCGUGCCAGCCGCCGCGGUAAUAC
RNAcentral lists this ribosomal RNA (407 nucleotides) under uncultured bacterium. RNAcentral describes it as "partial 16S ribosomal RNA". It matches the Rfam family "Bacterial small subunit ribosomal RNA", at positions 29 to 526 of the family's 1533-position model. The record is from RNAcentral.